UAGGGCAGCUUUUACUAUUGGCUCCCCCAGGGAAGCCCUCUCCCAGAGCUGUUUUAACCCCUUCAGGACAGGAGCGGGGUGACUAUCCCGCUACAGGCUACCAUCAAAAAAUAAGAUACGGUGUCCUGAGCUUCCCUCACUAAGUCUGUGUUAUUCAUUGGACUAGUUUCACAUGGAGGCUCAGAAAGUGUGAAACUCCAUCACUAAAUUUUACCAGAGGAACUUCAUCUAUUCUACUGGUCAAAAACUGGACUUUUACGACAGAUUAUUUUAUUGUGAUAAAGUAAAGUUUAUUGUGUUCUAUUGAUUUUUUUAAGAAGACAGGAGGAAGAAAGGGAGGAGCUGCUCUACAACACUGGAGAAAUGGAGAUUGAACUGCAAUUGAAGGAUGGAGAGGCAAAGCUCUAAGACUAACAACAAUGAGAAAGCCUAGUGAAACAUGCAACAAAAUGAGAAUACACCCUACAAGUGUGGAACCAUCUUCCAGCACAGAUCUCCGGUAUAUACCACUGAUGGGAACCGAGCUGACAAGAUCUUGCAGCAGUAAUUUGGGCACAAGAGGUGAUUAAUUUAGUGGGGUAUAAUCAGCAUCCUAUUAUUUAAUCAAAUUUGGCAGACUUUUCCCUCUAUGUCAGCUUCUUCUAGCAAAGUGGAAAGGCUGCUUGGCUAACUCUAUGAGAACUUGAGGGGUCAUUUUGACUGGAAAUAAAAUUUUGGUUGAUUGUU
Long non-coding RNA from Dermochelys coriacea (leatherback sea turtle), 726 nucleotides. RefSeq lists it as uncharacterized. Lineage: Eukaryota; Metazoa; Chordata; Testudines; Dermochelyidae. The transcript is spliced from 2 exons. The record is from RefSeq and is a predicted model, not a curated record.